This 484-nucleotide ribosomal RNA is filed under the name Edentistoma octosulcatum. RNAcentral's name for it is "partial 16S ribosomal RNA". It matches the Rfam family "Bacterial large subunit ribosomal RNA", at positions 1819 to 2600 of the family's 2925-position model. The record is from RNAcentral. Lineage: Eukaryota; Metazoa; Arthropoda; Chilopoda; Scolopendromorpha; Scolopendridae.
GUCUUCUUGGAGUCAAAAAGAAGUCUGACCUGCCCAAUGUUUUGUAAAUGGCCGCGGUAUUUUGACCGUGCGAAGGUAGCAUAAUAAUUAGUCCAUUAAAUAUGGUCUGGAAUGAAAGGUUUGACGGGGGGUAGCUUUCUUAAUUUUAUUGUUGAAUUUGAAUUGUUAGUGAGAGUGCUUACAUGAACUAAAGGGACGAGAAGACCCUAUAGAGCUUUACAUAAGGCUAAAAUUAUUGGUAUAUUAAUUAGUAUUAUGUUUUGUUGGGGCGACAUUAAAUAUUAAACAUUUGUUUUUUUGUCUGUUUAAUAGGUGUAAUGAUCCAUUAAUAAUGAUUAAAGACUAAGUUACCUUAGGGAUAACAGCGUAAUUCCGCUUUAGAGUUCUUAUCGAUGGUGGAGAUUGCGACCUCGAUGUUGGAUUAUAAUUCCUUUAUGGUGUAGUAGUUAUAAAAGGUAGUCUGUUCGACUAUUGAAAUUUUACA